This 500-nucleotide ribosomal RNA is filed under the name uncultured eukaryote. RNAcentral's name for it is "SSU rRNA". It matches the Rfam family "Eukaryotic small subunit ribosomal RNA", at positions 34 to 536 of the family's 1831-position model. The record is from RNAcentral.
AUGUUGAGAUUAAGGCCAUGCAUGUCUCAGUAUAAGCUUCUAUACGGCGAAACUGCGAAUGGCUCAUUAAAACAGUUAUAGUUUAUUUGGUGGUCAGCAAUUACAUGGAUAACCGUGGUAAUUCUAGAGCUAAUACAUGCGCCCAAACCCGACUUCGUGGAAGGGUUGUGUUUAUUAGAUACAGAACCAACCCAGGCUCCGCCUGGCCUUGAGGUGAUUCAUAAUAACCGAACGAAUCGCAUGGCUAUGCCGGCGAUAGACCAUUCAAGUUUCUGACCUAUCAGCUAUCGUCGGUAGGGUAUUGGCCUACCGUGGCAAUGACGGGUAACGGAGAAUUAGGGUUCGAUUCCGGAGAGGGAGCCUGAGAAACGGCUACCACAUCUAAGGAAGGCAGCAGGCGCGCAAAUUACCCAAUCCUGACGCAGGGAGGUAGUGACAAGAAAUAACAAUACAGGGCAUACAUGUCUUGUAAUUGGAAUGAGUAAACUUUAAAUCACUUU